Molecule: ribosomal RNA, 254 nt
Filed under: uncultured bacterium
Lineage: Bacteria
Description: partial 16S ribosomal RNA
Rfam family: Bacterial small subunit ribosomal RNA
Source: RNAcentral
CACGUAGGGGGCAAGCGUUGUCCGGAUUUAUUGGGCGUAAAGAGCUCGUAGGUGGUUCGGUAAGUCGGGUGUUAAACCCCCAGGCUCAACCUGGGGACGCCACUCGAUACUGCUGUGACUAGAGUCCGGUAGGGGAGCGUGGAAUUCCCGGUGUAGCGGUGAAAUGCGCAGAUAUCAGGAGGAACACCGGUGGCGAAGGCGGGUCUCUGGGCAGUAACUGACGCUGAGGAGCGAAAGCGUGGGGAGCGAACAGG